This 646-nucleotide ribosomal RNA is filed under the name uncultured archaeon. RNAcentral's name for it is "bacterial SSU rRNA". It matches the Rfam family "Archaeal small subunit ribosomal RNA", at positions 662 to 1308 of the family's 1478-position model. The record is from RNAcentral.
UGUGGCGAAGGCGUCUCACGAGAACGGCUCCGACGGUGAGGGAUGAAGGCCAGGGGAGCGAAUGGGAUUAGAUACCCCAGUAGUCCUGGCAGUAAACCCUGCGAGCUAGGUGUCGCGUAUCCUCCGAGGGUACGCGGUGUCGUAGAGAAGUCGUUAAGCUCGCCGCCUGGGAAGUACGGUCGCAAGGCUGAAACUUAAAGGAAUUGGCGGGGGAGCACUACAAGGGGUGCGGCGUGCGGUUUAAUUGGAUUCAACGCCAAAAAUCUCACCAGAGGAGACGGCAGAAUGAAGGUCAGUCUAAAGGGCUUACCUGACGAGCCGAGAGGUGGUGCAUGGCCGUCGUCAGCUCGUGCCGUGAGGUGUCCUGUUAAGUCAGGCAACGAGCGAGACCUGCGCCUACACUUGCCAGCGAGCAGCUUGCUGUGAUCGGGCACUGUGUAGGGACUGCCUGGGAAACCAGGAGGAAGGUGCAGGCAACGGUAGGUCUGUAUGCCCCGAAUCCACUGGGCUACACGCGCGCAACAAUGGACGAGACAAUGGGCUGCAACACCGAAAGGUGAAGCUAAUCCUCGAAACUCGUCCCCAGUACGGACUGAGGCUUGUAACUCAGCCUCAUGACGCCGGAAUCCCUAGUAAUCGGAGUCAU